RNAcentral lists this ribosomal RNA (348 nucleotides) under Shigella sonnei. RNAcentral describes it as "bacterial SSU rRNA". It matches the Rfam family "Bacterial small subunit ribosomal RNA", at positions 1 to 345 of the family's 1533-position model. Lineage: Bacteria; Pseudomonadati; Pseudomonadota; Gammaproteobacteria; Enterobacterales; Enterobacteriaceae. The record is from RNAcentral.
AAAUUGAAGAGUUUGAUCAUGGCUCAGAUUGAACGCUGGCGGCAGGCCUAACACAUGCAAGUCGAACGGUAACAGGAAACAGCUUGCUGUUUCGCUGACGAGUGGCGGACGGGUGAGUAAUGUCUGGGAAACUGCCUGAUGGAGGGGGAUAACUACUGGAAACGGUAGCUAAUACCGCAUAAUGUCGCAAGACUAAAGAGGGGGACCUUCGGGCCUCUUGCCAUCGGAUGUGCCCAGAUGGGAUUAGCUAGUAGGUGGGGUAACGGCUCACCUAGGCGACGAUCCCUAGCUGGUCUGAGAGGAUGACCAGCCACACUGGAACUGAGACACGGUCCAGACUCCUACGGG